This 467-nucleotide ribosomal RNA is filed under the name uncultured bacterium. Its description in RNAcentral is "partial 16S ribosomal RNA". It matches the Rfam family "Bacterial small subunit ribosomal RNA", at positions 29 to 507 of the family's 1533-position model. The record is from RNAcentral.
ACGCACGCUGGCGGCGUGCUUAACACAUGCAAGUCGUACGGAAAGGCCCUGCUUUUGUGGGGUGCUCGAGUGGCGAACGGGUGAGUAACACGUGAGUAACCUGCCCUUGACUUUGGGAUAACUUCAGGAAACUGGGGCUAAUACCGGAUAGGAGCUCCUGCUGCAUGGUGGGGGUUGGAAAGUUUCGGCGGUUGGGGAUGGACUCGCGGCUUAUCAGCUUGUUGGUGGGGUAGUGGCUUACCAAGGCUUUGACGGGUAGCCGGCCUGAGAGGGUGACCGGCCACAUUGGGACUGAGAUACGGCCCAGACUCCUACGGGAGGCAGCAGUGGGGAAUAUUGCACAAUGGGCGGAAGCCUGAUGCAGCAACGCCGCGUGCGGGAUGACGGCCUUCGGGUUGUAAACCGCUUUCGCCUGUGACGAAGCGUGAGUGACGGUAAUGGGUAAAGAAGCACCGGCUAACUACGUG